Molecule: non-coding RNA, 1728 nt
Organism: Corylus avellana
Lineage: Eukaryota; Viridiplantae; Streptophyta; Magnoliopsida; Fagales; Betulaceae
Source: RefSeq, a predicted model, not a curated record
AGUUCCUUGGUUAGUUAACCAAAUAGAGAUUUCUCCUAAAUCUUCCAAAGGAGACCAUGUUCUCCCUCCAAUUUUCUCUCUCGUCUUCCUCGGCAAAAUCAUUUAUACUUCAAACGUCACCUUCUUUCUUUCGGAGCCAUAGAGCUCCCUCUAGGGCUUUAAGAACCUUCCUCACAGCCAGUGCCAGUUCUGGUUCCACAAACUCCGAUGAAAGCCAGGAGGCCCUUGCCGGCCGCAGAGCCAACUACGGCGGAGUUCGAUUGGAAGAGACAGUGUGCAUCAAUUCAGGCAAGAUGAGACUCGAUUCUUGGAUCUCUUCUCACAUUAGCGGCAUCAGUAGGGCUCGCGUCCAGUCUAGUAUUCGCUCCGGCCUCGUCGCUGUCAAUGGCCGCGUUGUGGAUAAGGUUUCGCACAAUGUUAAAGCUGGGGAUAAGGUAGAUUGCACCAUUUCAGAGUUGCAACCCUUGAGGGCAGAGCCGGAAAACAUACCUUUGAAUAUAGUUUAUGAAGAUGAGCAUGUACUAGUCGUUAAUAAGCCUGCACACAUGGUUGUUCAUCCAGCACCUGGGAAUGCUACUGGCACACUUGUAAAUGGCAUUUUGCAUCAUUGCAGUCUUCCAGUUGUUGCAUUUUCGAAUGAGGAAGUUCUUUCAGAUGUUGAGGAUAUUUCUGAUGAUGACCUCAGUAGCUCAUUUACAGACCGAUGUCCUAACGAGUGGUUAUCUUCCAGCCAAAUUGGGGCAGCUAUUCGCCCAGGGAUUGUGCACAGAUUGGACAAAGGCACUAGUGGAUUACUUGUUGUUGCAAAGAAUGAACACUCUCAUGCCCAUUUAUCUGAACAAUUCAAGCUACAUACCAUCCAAAGAGUAUACAUUAGUCUUACUUCUGGAGUGCCAUCUCCAACUACUGGGCGUGUUGAGGUCCCAAUUGGACGUGAUUUAAAUAAUCGGAUUCGCAUGGCUGCUGUAUCGGGAUCAAGUAAAUGUAGACAGGCCCGCCAUGCUGCUAGUAGAUACAAAGUAAUUGAAAUACUUGCUGGUGGUGGUUCUGCAUUGGUUGAGUGGAGAUUAGAAACUGGACGCACUCAUCAGAUCCGUGCGCAUGCAAAGUACUUGGGGAUUCCUCUUUUAGGUGAUGAGGUGUAUGGAGGGACCAAGAGCAUGGCCUUGUCGCUGCUUCGGCCUAGAACCCCACCUAGCUAUCAUGGACAACUUUUGCAACUGGUUUCUGGAUUGGAGAGGCCUUGCCUCCAUGCUUUGGCUCUUGGGUUUAAGCAUCCACAUACAACAGAAAACAUGUAUUUUUCAUGCCCUCCACCUGCUGAUUUUGCUGAGAUCCUGAGCCAGAUUCGUGAAAUUGGUACAGUGAAGCCUUCAUUUAAGGUAUGAUUAUAUCAUCCAGACCAACAACUAUAAGAAGAAGAAUGCUCUGUUGUGAAUUGAAGCUUUUGGCCAAAUGUUGUACUAAAGAUUUCUCUCCUUUGAGAGGCGGGCUUCACCCUGAAAAUUAUUGAAAUGUUUGCAACAUCAUUACGAUUGGGCCAAGUAUGAGCAUGAUCGUGACCGGCCCGACAUUGGGCACAUGCUAGCUCAGCUUCAGCGAAAUAUAAUGUAAAUUAGAGUCAACGUGGCCAGCCCCUCCCUCAGAGAGGAAGAGGAGACUGUGAUGGUGUCAAUUAUAUCCAAGAGUUGGAGAGAUCCUCCAUUGAAACACAGAAGUGAUAGCAGG